RNAcentral lists this transfer RNA (72 nucleotides) under Phaeomoniella chlamydospora. It matches the Rfam family "tRNA". From Rfam's summary of the family: Transfer RNA (tRNA) molecules are approximately 80 nucleotides in length. The record is from Rfam by way of RNAcentral. Lineage: Eukaryota; Fungi; Ascomycota; Eurotiomycetes; Phaeomoniellales; Phaeomoniellaceae.
GAGACUUUAGUUUAAUGGUAAAACAUGCGACUUUUAAUCGUCAUCAUAUAGGUUCAAAUCCUAUAAGUCUUA